Molecule: ribosomal RNA, 426 nt
Filed under: uncultured methanogenic archaeon
Lineage: Archaea; Methanobacteriati; Methanobacteriota
Description: bacterial SSU rRNA
Rfam family: Archaeal small subunit ribosomal RNA
Source: RNAcentral
UUAAUUGACUCAACGCCGGGCAGCUCACCGGAUAGGACAGCGGAAUGAUAGCCGGGCUGAAGACCUUGCUUGACCAGCUGAGAGGAGGUGCAUGGCCGUCGUCAGUUCGUACUGUGAAGCAUCCUGUUUAGUCAGGCAACGAGCGAGACCCACGCCAACAGUUGCUAGCAUGUUCUGCGGAAUGAUGAGGACACUGUUGGGACCGCCUCUGCUAAAAGGGGGGGGGGAAAGGGCAACGGUAGGUCAGCAUGCCCCGAAUUAUCCGGGCUACACGCGGGCUACAAUGGUCAGGACAAUGGGAAACGGCACUGAAAAGUGUAGUCAAUCUCCUAAACCUGUCCCAAGUUCGGAUUGUGGGCUGCAACUCGCCCACAUGAAGCUGGAAUCCGUAGUAAUCGCGUUUCAAAAUAGCGCGGAAAAUAAGUC